This 534-nucleotide long non-coding RNA is filed under the name Anas platyrhynchos platyrhynchos (common mallard). RNAcentral describes it as "lncRNA (ENSAPLG00000017203.1)". The record is from RNAcentral. Lineage: Eukaryota; Metazoa; Chordata; Aves; Anseriformes; Anatidae.
GGAUCUUGUAAAUGAGAAAAUUCAAGGAAGGUUCUAUCCUUUUUAAACGAAUCAAUCUUUUGUGUGUAUAGUAUGCAUUUACACCAUGAAAAUUAUGACCAAGGGAAGUAACUGAGGUCACAAAUUAAUAGUAUUCCAACACAAUUUGACAGGUUUAUUGAUACAAAGAAUAUCCCAUUAUCAUAGUCGAUGCUAUGUAAAAUUAUGCAUAAGUAUUAUUAGAUCUUAUGCUUGAAGCUUGAAGUCCACCUUGUUAUUAUUUGUGAUAAGGAGGAGAGCUGUGUGGCAGCAAAUUAACCUUAAAUUUGGCUGCUUAGAGGUUUUAUAACUUCUAUUUGAAGUGCCUUCUGCAAAACAACUUUGGAGUUUGGUGUUUAUGCCCCAGAAGUGCUUCCUCCAGAUUAGAAAACAGGCAUAGUACUACAUAACGGUGUUAGAACUUGGCUUUAGAUGGUUCAGGUAACAGUGCAGGAACCAUUGUCUGAGAAAAGGAGUAAGAUGAAAAUACAUUUCGUUUGACUUCACAGAUAUGAU